UCCAGACUCCUACGGGAGGCAGCAGUGGGGAAUAUUGCACAAUGGGGGAAACCCUGAUGCAGCGACGCCGCGUGAGUGAAGAAGUCAUUCGUGAUGUAAAGCUCUAUCAGCAGGGAAGAAAAUGACGGUACCUGACCAAGAAGCCCCGGCUAACUACGUGCCAGCAGCCGCGGUAAUACGUAGGGGGCAAGCGUUAUCCGGAUUUACUGGGUGUAAAGGGAGCGUAGACGGUUGCGCAAGUCUGGAGUGAAAGGCGGGGGCCCAACCCCCGGACUGCUCUGGAAACUGUGUAACUGGAGUGCAGGAGAGGUAAGUGGAAUUCCUAGUGUAGCGGUGAAAUGCGUAGAUAUUAGGAGGAACACCAGUGGCGAAGGCGGCCUGCUGGACGAUGACUGGCGUUGAGGCUCGAAAGCGUGGGGAGCAAACAGGAUUAGAUACCCUAGUA
This 445-nucleotide ribosomal RNA is filed under the name uncultured bacterium. RNAcentral's name for it is "bacterial SSU rRNA". It matches the Rfam family "Bacterial small subunit ribosomal RNA", at positions 330 to 792 of the family's 1533-position model. The record is from RNAcentral.